RNAcentral lists this ribosomal RNA (410 nucleotides) under uncultured bacterium. Its description in RNAcentral is "bacterial SSU rRNA". It matches the Rfam family "Bacterial small subunit ribosomal RNA", at positions 64 to 507 of the family's 1533-position model. The record is from RNAcentral.
GUACGAGAAAGUGGAGCAAUCCAUGAGUAAAGUGGCGACCGGGUGAGUAACACGUGACUACCUACCCUCAAGUGGGGGAUAACUCCGGGAAACCGGAGCUAAUACCGCAUAACAUCGCAAGAUCAAAGCAGCAAUGCGCUGGAGGAGGGGGUCGCGGCUGAUUAGCUAGUUGGCGGGGUAACGGCCCACCAAGGCGAAGAUCGGUAUCCGGCCUGAGAGGGCGCACGGACACACUGGAACUGAAACACGGUCCAGACUCCUACGGGAGGCAGCAGUGGGGAAUUUUGCGCAAUGGGGGAAACCCUGACGCAGCAACGCCGCGUGGAGGAUGAAGUCCCUUGGGACGUAAACUCCUUUCGACCAAGACGAUGAUGACGGUACUGGUGGAAGAAGCACCGGCUAACUCUGUG